GAAAGCUUCUCUUUAUUUCACAGAGCACAGAGCCAACUCCUGAUUCAUCAAUAUCAUAUUAGUUCUCUCUAAAGCUUCCCUUUAAUUUACGGUUUUAAACCUUCUCUAGUUCUAGUUUGUGAGUAAAUUAAGAGAGACCAAAAAUGAGUGUGGAGAUUUUGGAUGGUGCCACCAUUGUCAACUUUCUGGAGGACGAGGAAGCAUUCAACGCGCAAAUAUGUGACCGCUUCGCCCACCUUGAUUCAGACCAUGAUGGCCGGCUUUCCUACGGGGAAAUGUUGAAGGAGCUGCAGUGUUUGAGGUUAUUGGAAACCCACUUCGGCGUGGAUGUGGAAACAGACCCGGAUGAGCUUGCUCUCGUCUAUGGUUCUCUUUUUGUCCAAUUUGAUCAUGACUUGAAUGGGACAGUGGAGUUAGAAGAGUUCAAGUCAGAGACCAAGCAAAUGAUGCUAGCCAUGGCCACUGGUAUGGGUUUCUUGCCUGUUCAGAUGGUCCUGGAAGAAGACAGUUUCCUGAAGAAGGCUGUGGAGUGGGAAUCUACUAAACUCGUUGCCUGACUAAUUCCACAUCCAUUACCCUAUACAUGACUCAUUAAUUGUCUUCGUUAUUUCUUUCUUCUCCGAAUGCAUUCCAAGUUUAGCUGAAUGUAGCAAAGAAAAUAAAUGAAAUGCUCUGUUAUUGGUGCAAUUUGGCAUCUUAAAACUCGGUUCUCUCCUAAUGCAAUUUGGUCAUGACCAUCCAGCCAUAGUUAAUAUAACGAAAGGCUGACAGAAACACGAAUAUCUUUCCUCUUUCAAGAGGGCUUCAUCAACUAAUAGAUACAUGGGCAGAAGGAUUGAGCUGGAUGCAUCUCAGUCAUCGUUCAAAAUUUAGCUUCAAGGGAAUGGAAUUGGUAGAACAGAGUUGCAUCAGAAUGGAAAAAGAACUUGCGUGUGUCAGGUCCAGGGGAACAGAUAAAAAUUAAAGAAAUAACUGUCCUCGUAUAAAGUAUAGUUAAAUAAAAAUUUCGAGUCGAAUCUGUUGUGCGUCUGAAAACCUAAUUCCAUCAUGAUUUGUUUAGCAUGCGUAUGAAACAAACUUCCCGCAUUGAAAAGAGGGAAGCAAUUAUUUAAAACGGUAGAGAUUGCGUUUCAAUCAAAACGCAGGAGCCAAGCGUUUGGUAAUAUCAAAAACGCUAAAAAUGACCGGUGGGACCCAUGCCAAUUCAUGUUUUAAACGCGACAUUCGCGAAGCAGCUCUAGGCUGCUUUUUGAAAUUUUGUAUUCGCGUGCACAGUGCAAUUCACUUGCACUGUUCGGGUGAUUUUUUUUUAUUUUUUUUUUAGUGUGUAUAGUUUUUGUAUAUAUUUUUUUUUAAAAAAACUAGUUUUACAUUGUCAUGUAAACAAUAUUUUUUUUUCCUGAAAAACUAGUAUAGAGCGAAUUAAAUUCACUCGCACUGUAAUAUCAAAUUAAUUUUAUUCAUGAUAAUAUUUUAUCUAAUUUUAUUGCAAGCUCAAAAAAUUAUAGAAACUGUAGUUCUUGUCGAAUGAAUUUUGUACGUAAUGGAAUUGUAGAUGGUUUAAUGGCAUAAUAAAAAAUAUUUUAUAUAAAGUAUUAUUUAUUUCAUGAAGUAAUAGUAAUGGUUAAAUCUACAAUAUUUAAAUUAAAAAUCAUCAAUUUUAAUAUGUAUAUUUUAAUUAUUUUAUAAUCUCAAUUUGAAAAGUAUUUUUUUAACCAAACACAUUAAACUACUUUUUCUUCAACCUCAAUUUCAACCACAGUUUUAACCAAACACCUAUUUUUUCAAACCAACCUCAACUAAAAGUACUUUUUAUAAAACAACUUUUUUCAAAUCACAACCACAAAAGCUACCGCAAUACCAAACACACACUUAAUAUCCUAUAUAUGCAAAAACGCAACUUGAACGAAGAACCUGGAUGGUUAAAAACAACACACUUGCAGGCUUGUAGCUCCUGAUAUUUUCAGCCUCGUGUGAAGAUGGACAAUGAUGGUUGAAAAAUCUUUGUAUGUUUUAUCUAGGUAGAUUACUCAUAAUAAUAAGAUUAUUUUUAAAAAAUCUUUGUCUUUUUUACCUGGGUAGCUCAUCCAUUGUAAUAAGACUACUCGAAAAAAAUCUUUGUAUUUCUCUACUUGAAUAGGUCACCCAUUACAAUAAAACUACUUUGAAAAGACCUUUGAGUUUUUCAUUUGGGUGGGUCACCCAUGAUAAAUUGAACAUUUCAGAAUCUUUGAAUUCUACCAAUAGACAGGUUGCUUGGUACUACCAUAUCACUUCAAAAGUCUUUCACAAAGAUAAUCUUUUUCUUUAGAAACUCUAUCUCCUUUUUUUUCGAGUACACUUUCUAACCCUCAUUCUUCAGAUAGUGUGCUUUUUAUCCCUAUCUAUUUUUUUCUGAGUGCACUUUUAAGCCCUUACUACAAACAUUUUCAGAAAGAUUGACCAUUUCUUAAUAUGGUGAGUCCAUAAUCUCGUUCUUUUUCUUCAUCUUUACAAAACUUAUUGUCUAAAGUCUCUCACGAGACUUUCGUUAUAAAGAUUGUAAAGAGAGAGGCAACUGUCAUAACUCAUUUCUGGAUUAUUCCCUAAAUUCACAUUUUUUUUCUUUCCAAAAUAAAAGUCAAAAAAGAAAAUAAAGAAAGCAAGAAAACUAGCGACAUAUAGGAAUAUUAAGUUGUGACUUUGGAAGCCUAAUUGUAUCCUAUUUUACCCACAACUGGAGAGACAAUGUAAAUUAAAGGUCAAAUUAAAUGAUUAUUGGAUGAAUCUACUUAAAAAUUAAGCUUGAGGAUAUAAUUAGAAUUUUAAUAGGCCAAUUUGAUUUAAUCAUGGGCCAAAUUGAGAAUUUAAUUAUGUUUAAGAAUUAAUUUGGGUAAUUAAAGGAUUUAAUGAGGUGCAAGAACUUAAUUAUACUUUAAAUAGGUCAAAUUAAUUUUAUUAAGGGCUUAAUUGAUGAAAAUCUAAGUUUAGAAGCCCAAUUUGAGCUUAAUUGAGAAAAUUGGAAUUUUAGAAAACCAAAUAUAAUUUCCUUAAAGUCAAUUGGUUCAAAUUAGGGGUAAAAUCGCAAGAAAAACAAAUUUUUUUGGUCAAUUAAGGGUUAAAUUGAAGAGAUUUGCAACUAAGGACCAUUUUGCAAAACAUAUCGAACUAUGGGGUAAUUCAUGAAAAUCAGGGAUGAAAUUGAAGAAAAUUUAAAGUUUGAUGGUCAAAUUGCAUAAAUCCAAGACCAAGGAUCAAAUUGAAAAAGAUGCUAAAAUUCAGGGCUGAUAUUGAAAUCCAGCAAGGGCAAAAUUGUAUUAAAUCAAAAGUUUGGAGUCAAUUAGGGGUCAAAUUGAAAGAAAUCAAAAGCUGAAGGACCAAAUUGAACUUUGGAAAACUACCUUAAUUUAAGGUCCAAAAUGGAUUUGUUUUUUAACAUUAAAAAAAAAAGGCAACCAGACGACGCAUCGUCUAGUUAAUGUCCAUUGUCUUCUUCUUCUGACCCGAAAACGUUGUUUGGAUGGCUAUUUUUCAUGGGCAUUUAAUACUUCAUCUCUCAAUCAAACCGGACAAACCAUACACCACCAUGAUGAGCUGACAUUAUACUUCACCCCAGAGUGGAUCUCGCCGGCUAAUUAUCCCUACAGCCGCCACAGUGUCGCCUCAAAUUGGUCAAUCUAACUAACAUUUAGCAACCAGCUUUUUCAGGUCAUGAUAACAACUUUGAACCAACGGUUAAGAUCCUUCUGUGUCGAAUCAAGAGCCAAGAUUGGCACUAGUAAAGACAAGAUGUCCAUCUUCCAUGCCCCGAGCAUCAAGAAAUUAGAGCCCAAAUUUGGUGCAAAUAAGUUUUUCUUACCAGAUCUUUUGUUCUUCUCCACCAGCCAUCUUCUUCCUCUUCUUUCGCAACAUCUUCGCUUCUUUCGCAACAUCUUCGCUUCCAGCAAUGCUGCCAACAACACGUUGGCCUUCCUAGCAUUGCUAAUUAGCAAUCCCCCAUAGUUGGUAACCUUUUCUUCCCCUUUUUGGAUGCAAACGAGGCAGCCAUUUGUAAGCAUAACAUUUGGUUCUGCAUGCAAAAUUCAACCACUUCAUAUGGUCAUUGGGUCGGGCCAAUGACCAUGUGAAGAUAGGUUGGACCCCUUCCAACCCAACCCAUGAUGGCUUGGUUAAGUACAGCCCAUAAAAAAGGAUGAAGGCCAGGUCUGUUGGGCUGCCUGGCGCCACGACCUGACCCGGCAAGGUCCGGCCCAAAUGGCUGGGUAGGGCCCAGCCCAAUAUAUAUAAUAAUAAUAUUAAAAUAAAAAUAAAAACUUUGAAAGCCCUUCCAAAAAAUUUGUGAUUUUCUCGCACGUUUUUCUAUCAAUUUUGCAUAAUAUCGGGCUGUAUAAUUACACUAUAUGAUACAUAUCCGAUAUUAAAACACCUAGUUUUUUCUGAAACAUUUCAAAAUAAAAUUCAAAAUUUUUUAAAUUAAUUUCCUCUUUCAAAAAAACAAAAAAUGUUUUGUUUUCAUGCAUAUAGUCAAAUCCUCAAAGUUUUCCAAGCAUGUUUUCAAAAAAAAAAAACAAAAAAUUGUAUUUUUCUCAUGUUUUAAAAUAUAAAAUAGAUAUCAUAACUAAUUUAUAAUUAUCCAUUAGGGUUUAACCAAAAUGUCAAAAACCCUUCACCAAUUAUUUUUUUCAUUUUAUAUUAUGGUUUAAAUGUAGACUUAAAUAUUUGGGGGCGUAAAACUAUACAGUAGAGUAUACCCUCAGGUAUUAAAGACAAAAGUUCAAUAUAAAUGCGAUACUAAAAUUUAGACUUUAGAACGGUUGGAUUUAACAUCAUAAGGUAUAGAUUUUGUCAUGAAGAGAGAUCUAUCUUAAACCUUAGACGAUUUCAACGAAUAGAAACUUAACUUAGAAUAACAAUCAAAAAACAAUGUACCUUACUUCAGGUAGGCUGCACUGGAGAUAAUGCGUCUUUUCCUUACACAAUCAGUCUCUUACUCAGACUCUCACAGACUAUAUGUUUCCUAGUAACCAUUAUAUUAAAUGGUGACUCUUAAAUCUUAAUUAUAAUUUUAUGCUUACAUCAAAAACUCUUUUUUUUUCUAACAAUACCUUUCAAGAGGCACUUAAAACGCGUCGUUUGACGUCGCCUGUGACAUAAUCCAUUAAACAUGAAAUGGAAAUAAAUAAGUAAAGAAUAUUGCAAGCAUCAAGUUGUCUAUCUCCGAAAAAAAAAAAGAAGAAGAAAAAUUUUGGAACCUUAAUUAAGUUUGUUUAAAUCUCUAUCACACCCAUUAUUUAAUGUUUGACAAACAACACAUGUAGAAUAGGUGAAACCAAACCUACAGUACAAUAUUUGCAUUUUUGUUGUGUUGUGAGAAAAAAAGAAAAGAAAAAGAACAUGGUCUGUCUCGGAAGGAGAAGGGAAAUUGACCGUUGUCGCUGCUUUUGACAGGGGGUUUGAAAUUAGCAACACCAUCUUGGGACCUUCGAGCAAGUCAACUUUCAUUUAAUUUUCGACUUUAUAAACACGGCUAGCCCACCGAAUUUUAUUAGGGGAAAAGCCCGUUCCCAAGUUGCCAUUGCCAUUAGAUUAUGACUUAUGGCUCACCUGUUUAAGAUAGUUCUAAUAAUAAAAUUUUAGUGGCUGACCGACCGAUCCUCGAAGCAGCAGAUUCUGCAAAGCGUCAAAAAACCAUGCAGCAAAGGGUAAUUAGAAGCAAGUCAGAAAAGCAAAAACCAAAUGGAAACCGGGUGCUGACUGCUCGUCAACUGUCUGUGUGCCCCUCAUUUACGUAUAAAUAAGCACAAGACCAACUUCUUAUUCAUCAACAUCAAAUCAGUUAUCUCGGAAAGCUUCUCUUUAUUUCACAGAGCACAGAGCCAACUCCUGAUUCAUCAAUAUCAUAUUAGUUCUCUCUAAAGCUUCCCUUUAAUUUACGGUUUUAAACCUUCUCUAGUUCUAGUUUGUGAGUAAAUUAAGAGAGACCAAAAAUGAGUGUGGAGAUUUUGGAUGGUGCCACCAUUGUCAACUUUCUGGAGGACGAGGAAGCAUUCAACGCGCAAAUAUGUGACCGCUUCGCCCACCUUGAUUCAGACCAUGAUGGACGGCUUUCCUACGGGGAAAUGUUGAAGGAGCUGCAGUGUUUGAGGUUAUUGGAAACCCACUUCGGCGUGGAUGUGGAAACAGACCCGGAUGAGCUUGCUCUCGUCUAUGGUUCUCUUUUUGUCCAAUUUGAUCAUGACUUGAAUGGGACAGUGGAGUUAGAAGAGUUCAAGUCAGAGACCAAGCAAAUGAUGCUAGCCAUGGCCAAUGGUAUGGGUUUCUUGCCUGUUCAGAUGGUCCUGGAAGAAGACAGUUUCCUGAAGAAGGCUGUGGAGUGGGAAUCUGCUAAACUCGUUGCCUGAUUAAUUCCACAUCCAUUACCCUAUACAUGACUCAUUAAUUGUCUUCGUUAUUUCUUUCUUCUCCGAAUGCAUUCCAAGUUUAGCUGAAUGUAGCAAAGAAAAUAAAUGAAAUGCUCUGUUAUUGGUGCAAUUUGGCAUCUUAAAACUCGGUUCUCUCCUAAUGCAAUUUGGUCAUGACCAUCCAGCCAUAGUUAAUAUAACGAAAGGCUGACAGAAACACGAAUAUCUUUCCUCUUUCAAGAGGGCUUCAUCAACUAAUAGAUACAUGGGCACAAGGAUUGAGCUGGAUGCAUCUCAGUCAUCGUUCAAAAUUUAGCUUCAAGGGAAUGGAAGAACAGAGUUGCAUCAGAAUGGUAAAAGAAUUUGCGUGUCAGGUCCAGGGGAAUAGAUGAAAAUUAAAGAAAUAACUGUCCUCAUAUAAAGUCUAGUUAAAUAAAAACUUCGAGUCGAAUCUGCGGUGCGAUUUAACUAGAUUUUGCGAUCUAAACACCAGAUUCCAUCAUGAUUUGUUUAGCAUGCGUAUGAAACAAACUCCCCGCAUUGGAUCAAAAAACAAUGACAUCUCAGGAGAUGGAAUGAAGGAGAGAAUGCUUUCGCCAAACAGCUCAAACAGGGAUACCAGAAGAUGCCCAUUAUUCAAGUCUUCGUUCAAACCUUGUUGAGAAUGUGAUGCGGAACAAUAAAUCAAAAAAUAAAAUAAAAAAUUAAAGCAGUAAAGAAUGAAGCCUUAAAGAAAUAAGUUAAGAAAUAAAAGUAAAGAAAGGGUAAAGCAAAAAAAAAAAACAGAGAGAAUUCAGGAAGAAAAGUCUAUCAUUUUUAUUUAAUCAUAACAAACUUUUGCAAAAACUAAAAGAGAAAUAUAUAAAUAGCAUAACCCUAAAACAUCCGUUUAUUGGGUUCAACUCAUCAAUUAAAAUUUUCUAGUAUAAAUAAGUCAAAUAAAUAAAAUAAAACAAUGAAAUAGGCCCAAAUGGACUCAAUCUUCCAACCAAAGAGUAACAUGCUAGGCCAUUCUAUGUCGUCUCUGUCCAUAUACUCGUGUAAUUUGCAGUGUGGGUCUAGAGUCCCCACCAACUCUCCCAGUGUAGCUCUGGAUGACCCUAAUAGCACUUCCAAAAAUUUGGAUCAAUCUGCUGCAAAGUAUCUAUAGUGAUCCAAAUACAAUUUGAAUCAGGUUGGCCCACCCAAGAAUUAGAAACCGUUGAACCUCACUAUUCCUAGUAAAAAAAACUUGUUCAACCAUAAUGACAUCAAUAUUAUCUUUUUGUGUUUAGAUCAAGGUCAAAGGGGUAGAAGUUUUAAUAAGAUCAUCAAGAGGAGAGUUAGGUGGCAUCUCAAAGGGAUCAUUUGGAAUAGGAUGUUGUUUCUGGUACGCAACUAAAUCCGCAAUGUUAAAUGUAAAGUUAAUGCUAAAAUCAAGUGGUAAAUCAAGAACACAAGCAUUUGGACCAACCCCUUGUAGCACUUUGAAUGGCCCUGCACUACGUGCAUGCAAUUUUUGAUUAGUUCCUAAAGGAAACUGCUUAUGUCUAUUUCGUAUCAUAACUUAGUCUCCUACAUUAAAUUUAUUAUAUCAUCUAUGUAAAUAAGCUUAGAGUUUAUAUUGUGCAUUACUUGUUUGAAUCUGCUUAGUGAUCUCAAUAUGCAAAUUCUAAAUUUUACGUGUAAAAAACUUUGCUAACUCAAACACCUUAGCAUGAAGAGACAUGGGAAGAACGUUUAAAGGUUUCCUAGGCUUGUAACCAUGUACAACUUCAAAGGGAAUCAUGCCAUUUGACAUAUUGACAAAACUAGUAAAUGCAAACUAGGUCAUAGGAAGAACCAAAUCCCAAUUUCUAUUAUGAUAACUCACUAGACACCUCAAAAGGUUGCCUAAUCUGGGUGGUAGGCACUAGAAAACUUCAACUUAGUUCCCACUAUAUGGCGAAGGGUUUUCUAGAAAUAACUCGUAAAUCUAACAUCCUUAUCUAAGACUAUGGUUUGGGGAAAAUCAUACAGCUUGACAAUCUCGUUAAAAUAGAGUUCCCCAACUCUAGAAGCAUCUGUGGUCUUAGUAAAAAGGAUAAAAUGAUCCAUUUUAGAGAAACGGUCAACAACCAUAAAAAAUGAAUCACGCUUCUUUGCAGUACGUGGAAGUCGACACACAAAAUCCAUACUUACAUUUUGCCAAGGGCAAGUAAAACAGGUAACGGGGUGUAAAGACCACUAUUUUGUUUUUCAGACAAUUGUAUAUUAAUGUUAUUGUUAUUAUAUUAUAGUCUACAUCUCUUUUCAAACUAGACUAAAACAAAUUGAUGUUCCCUCUUUUAAAUGGGUUUAUUUCUUCCAAAAUGUUCUGAAAGACCUUCAACAUGAAUCUCUCAUAUCAAAAAUUCACACACGGAUGUUUUCGAGAUAUAAAGCUUAUUAUCCCAAAACAAAUACCCUUCUUUGAGGUGAUAACUAUCUACAACAUGGUUAUUCUCAUCUCUCGAAGUCAUAUAUACUUCUCUAAAUUCUGAGCAAGAUUCAUACUCCUCUUUGAGCCUCUCAAAUCCAGUAACUUCUCAUUACGGAUAACAGUGUUACUCGACGAUUCAAGGCAUCUGCCGUUUUAUUCUAGAUUUAUGUUUCAAAACAAAUGAAUAACCUUGCAAAUAUUCAACCCAAUGACCAUGCCUAUUUCAACUGCAAAUAGAGAAAAGGAACAGACUAUGCGUUUCUAAGGCAAAUAAGGAGCAUAAACAAGUUGUUUUCCAACCCGGUGAUUGGGUUGGGUGCACAUGCAUAAGGAACAAUUUCCUAACCAAAGGAAAUCAAAAUUACAUCCUCGUAGUGAAGACCCAUUUUAGAUUUUUAAAGAGGAUCAAUGACAACGCAUUCAAAAUUGAUCUUUUAGGUGAAUAUGGUGUUACUGCUACCUUUAAAGUUGUUGAUCUUACUUUGUUUGACAUAGGUUUUGAUUCGAGGUUGAAUCCUUUCGAGGAGAGAGGGGAUGAUGUGGAUCAGCCCACAAACUCCAGCAAGAACCCAUUACAUGUUCUAAAUGGGCUAAUGACUCGGGGUAAGACAUAGGCAUUGAAAGAGGCAUUGAAUGCAUUGGUUUUGAAUGUUUCGACCAAGUCAAAUUUGAAGGGUCCAUUGGAGUAUCAAGAGAAGGCCUUAGUACAUCUUAUCCAUGUGCAAAAAGGACCUAAUCUAACCUUAUUUGGGCCAUGAGGUUUCGGUAAUAAGGUUGCCACUUUUCCAAAUGUUCGGUCAGUCUUGUUUUUAUAAUGUUUCUAUGUAUUUUUUAGAUUCCUAAUUAGUUUUGGACUUGCUAUUAUGUAUUAGAACAUUAAUUAUUUCCUUUAAGUAUUAGAAUUUAUUAUUUUAUUUAUUUUCUUGUUAGGUGAGGAGAAAACACAACAAAGAAAACAAAAAAAUCCAAGUUGACUUAGGAAGUGGCGGCAAAGCUUCCUAAUUAUGCAAGGAGAUUAUUCCAAUAACUUCAAUUAUGUUUCCUAAUAUUACAAGGAUCCUAAGAGGUGGCAAAAGAAGGGAAUUAAUACCUUAAAUUACUUUCCUUUCAAAAUAAGAAAAAAAAACAUAAGUUUAAGAUCAAAAUCCUACUACAACUUGCAAACAACAUAGGCGGCUACCUUUCCUUUAGUUUCAAGGAUUAAUGAGAUGUAUGGAAGAUUAUAAAUAAGCCUUGAAUCAAUUUUGUAAUAUUUUCUUUCCUUCUCUUCUUCUCACGGUGAAAUAAAGAUUUAAUAUUAUAGGCUUUUUUAUAUUUUGUUUAGGCUUAAUUAAUAUAUAUAUUUUUAGCUAGGAUCCAAGGCUUGUUUGGAUUAGGGUUUGGGUUUACUAGUAAAGGUUUUGGGUCAGUUUUUAUAUGUGGGUCAGUUUAGCCCCCAAGGGUGGAUUCAUUUAGGUUAAUUUUUUAGAACUAUUUAAACACAUGAAAGCCUAAAUUUCAGCAGCGAUUGAUGAAUAAUACUUAUGAAUUUUUCAAUUUUAACGUGUGAGAGAGAUUCUUGUAUUUUUUGGUUCUUGAACGAAAUGAAUCUAACUUCUCAAAGAUUAAUUGGCUUCAUGGCGUCAUUCGACAUCAUUCCAAUAAUGUUGGUGUCUUAGGACAGGUUCCUAUUGUGUGACACUCCUAUCAGAUCAAUUUUGUCUUUUUAGGAUCAGAUCUCAAUCUUGAAUGUGGAUUGUGUGACCACGUAAUCACGAGGUUCACAUCAGUGUUCAAGAGAUGCUAAUAAAUAUCUUUGAGUGGUAAAGGUAUGUCAAUAUUUGAUACGAGCACUUGAGCAUCCGAUGACAUAAUGAGAUCCAAUUGGACAAGACUCCUAAUCUGAGAGCCAUUUCCCUAUUCAUAUUCUAUCAUGACUUUAGAGUUCACAUUUGGGGUUUCCUCGAAGGUGAUCCAUCUUGCCUCAAUAAGUUUGAGGAACUUGUCUUUAAAAGCAUAACAACUUUGAAUGUUAUGACCACUAGUGCCAUCAUGAUACUCACAUAUCUAGUUAGGAUCAUACCAUUUUAGAUAUAGGGGUUGAAAUGGUUUCUAGAGAAUCAAAAUAAUUUGUCGAAUAUUGACCAAUAUUUUAAAUAUCUCCUUAAAAGAUAAAGGAAAGGGCGAUAGAGUUUUCUUUAACUACUGUGACUUUUCAUAUAUUUGCUUUUUAGAUCGAACCUAAUUAGCCAUUUGAGGAGAAUGAUUCGGAUGCUAAGAUACAUGAUGAUCUUAAUUCAUACUUCCCAUAUGGAAGCUAUCUUCUAUUUUGUCAAAUGACAUAGUAUUAAACCUAUCUUCUUAAUUCCAUAUCCUUCUCAAUUUCAAUCCUUGCUCCACCCUCUCUGCUGUCAUUAUUAUCUCUAUAAAAUAAGUUGAUCAAUUACAAGUUAUGUAAUCACAAUAAUGAGUCUUUAAAGUAUUGAUGAAGAUGGAAUUGAUCUCAUUUUAUAGUAGUGGAGCGUAAACUUGUGUUUCCAUUUCUCGCAGCCUCAUCGCAUAUUCCUUGACUGACUCAUCAUUUCUCAUCUCAAUUCUUUGAAUGUCUAACCUGGUUAGAGCCAUCUUUAAGUUGAAUCCAAAUUAUUGCAGAAAUGCAUCAGCCAAGUAUUCUCAUUUCUUCUUUUCAGAGCCAUUUAAAUCCAAGUUGGGUUUUAAAAUUAUGAUAAUAAUCAUUUUUAUCCUUACAUGUCUUAUUUGUACAAUUUUGAAAUUGAGAGUUUUUUACAAGGAUAUUUUAGAAAUAAAAAAUAACAAAUAUUAUUUCUAGAGACAUGUCCUCUAUGUACCUUCUAUUUUGAAAGUAUAGACAUUCACUCCAAAAUUAUCCGAGAAACAUAUUUCUUUUUAUGUUUUUAUCUCUUUAACAAAACAUAUUUAUGUCUUCAUUGUCUUCGUAUGUUCUGUCUCAGGACAGUAACCAAACACUACCUAGUAUACACUAUUUAAACUAUUUUUAAUGAUUUGGAUAUUAAUUAUCUUUUUUGAAUAAAAUUUCAAGAGUCAAGUUUCUCUAUACAACUUCACUGUUAUUAUUGUUCCAAGGGUUUUUGAGAAAUAAUAAACCCUAAUACUUCUAGUAAGCUGCAUCAUUUGUAUAAAGAAAGCAUCAUUGUUAACUGGAAUAUUUUAAAAGCUUAAACACCUAAAAAAAGUUAGACUGACAAAUAGACUCCUAAGCAACUAAAUGCUUUUCCUAUGACCCUUUGAAUUACCCUAUCAUAAUAGAAAGUGAUUCAUCAUGCUAAAGAUAAUCGAGUCGUCUGCCAACCUUGCACUCCAUUCUGAACUUUUUCCACCACUAUACUAUAUGUAUUUGUUAACAAGCACAUGUAACAUAGGAACUCCAAAAUAUUACCAAAUAUUUUCUAUUAAAGCAAACCCUAAAUAUGAAUUGAUAUCACGAGUCACCCUUAGACGAAUAAAACAAUCUGGUUUUAGCCACACUAACAUUUUUUUACCAAAAAGUUACAAAAGUCAUGUAUGAUAACUUUGAUUUGCUUCAAAUCAGGUUUUGCAAAAAAGAAUUGUCACCAACAAAUACAGAUGACAACUUCACCCGACUCGUUUGGAAUCUAGUGUCAUUCAAUUCGGUUGGAUCAUAUUUUUAUCCAAUUUUAUUUGAAAAAUAAAUAAAAUUCAAUUCAAUUUGACUAAAGAUAGAUGCGGAGGUUAAUAAAUGGUUCACUUAACCCAUCACUUGACUCAACUUUUACGUGGUUUUUUAACCCUUUUAUAUUUUAUAGAGUUGUAAUUUAUAUUUCAAUAUAGUAUAUGGAUUUUUAUCCCAUUAUUCACGGAGGAUUGUUAUGGUUUUACAUGUAGAUGUAAAGUUUAGACUCUAUUUUAUUGUUUUAUGAUUUAUAGAUGGAUAUAUUUUUUUUUUAAGCUUCAAUUUUAUUUUUUAAAAUUUGAUUAAAAAUAUAACAAUUGGAUCAAAUGAGGUACUUGUCGAAUGAAGAAAGUUCUUCAUCCAAUCCAAUCGUAUACAAGAUGAAGUCAAGUGCUGGAUUUAGAUAUCUCUGGUUAGAGAUGGGGGAGCAAAAUUCAGUCGCAACCCAAUCUUUAUCGUUCUUGUAAAUAAAGAAAGGAUGAGAAAUAAUCAAACCCCUUUACUAAAAUAGACAAAUUCAUUCUCUAGUCUCAACCGUAUUGGAUCAAUUUUUCCAUACAUAAAACAAAGGUAUAAGAAUAAAGGAUCGUCAUAUUGAAUACCUUGUGAUGAAGUAUAGGAAUUUGAAAUCUUAGCUUUCCAACUCACUUAUAACAAGGUUACUGUGAUACGCUUCAUGAUUAAGGAUGUGAAACUAUCCAAAAUACCAUAUCCCUAAUAACGUUUAGGAUCAAGUCCUACCUCAAACAAUCAUAAACCUUUUUUAGGUCUAUCUUAAUCAUCAUCAGAUAUAUUCUAAUUUUCUUUUCUACAUCUAGAGUUAAGAGCCAAUCAUACAAUCAUAGUGGUAUUAUUGUGCUUCUUUGAAACAAAACACUGGUACUGACUAGCGAAUAUGUGCCAGUCAAGAGUAUUUGCCAUGAAACUCUGUAUAAACUUCUUAAUUGGUUAGCAUUCUUACUUCAAUGUAAUUAAUGUUUUUACAUUCUGAAACUCUUAUUUGAAGCACAUCACGCAAUGCUUUCUUUAGACCUAACUUUUCUUAUAUACAUGUCUUAUGUGAUAAGGAUAAGGAAAAUCUUCAAUUUUCCUAGUUUGUCAUGUUGGUAACAGACUGUUAACGUGUUUUGACAAAAACAAUGAUAAAGUUAUCUUCAGAUUACUUUUUCUACUUUAUAUUAACUUAUCUCUUAAAUAAUCUAAACUAAUCAAAUAAUUACAGAGAAGAUAAUACUAACUAAUCUUGAUAAACUUCUAUCUUAGCUAAAUUAUCCUUUUACCAACCAUAAAAAGAUCUUCACUAAUCUAAACUAAUAAAAUGACAUUUAUUACAAAGUUGAUCCCGUUAUUCUCUUAGGUUAUUAUUAGAUGGGGGAAAGUAAAGGUCUAAAGGCAAAAUGUCAAAACUUCUAUAUUUAAAAUUAGUUGAAAAUCAUACCUUGUUUUCUCUGUAAGUGGCAUGUUGAUGACAACUAUGUCAUAUUUAGAAAGCAUUGAAUCUAGAUCCUCCUCAAACUUUGCUCCUGUUUGAUUCUCCAACUCUGUCUUCAUCUUAAGUCUAUCAUGAUACAGUAGAGUGCAAUUGAAAGGUUUCAAACGUUAGAGUAAAAGCCUUCUGAUGCAUCUAGCACCAACAGUUUCCACUGUCUUUCCUUCAAGAUCGUAAGCCCUGUAUGUAAUAACUGCCACAUUCUACUUCCCAUUGAUUGAUGACUUAUGAUAUCCAGGUAAGAAAUAUCAUACAAGAACAAGGAUUCUCAUGAGCUCAUCUUUUGCAACUGGGACAACAUUGCUUCUUGUGACCUCUGCAGUAGUUAACCAGGUAGCAGCCGCUGCCUUCAAAUCUCUAUGAUCAGAACCAAUUCCAGCAGUGAGAAGAGGUUUGUUGCCCUCUUGAUCAUUUAUGUCGUAACAUACGCAGGGUGGAAAGGUGUAGUGAUGAGGACAUGGAGAUAAGGAAUAUGCUUGUCAAGUUCUGUGACAAUUACACAGUCGAAGAGCAAAAAAUCAACAAACUGGCCAUCCUAAUAAUCUUGGAAAUAAAAGGCACAAAUUGAGCAUCUUGAAAUCAUUUAAUGUCAUCACUACGAUUAGGACAUGGAGAUCAGCAGUAGAUCUUGUUGUUCUCUUAGGUCAUUAGGGAAAGUAAAGGUCUAAAGGCAAAAGAUCUAAACUUCUAUAUUUAAAAUUAGUUGAAAAUCAUACCUUGUUUUCUAUGUAAGUGGCAUGUUGAUGACAAUUAUGUCAUAUUUAGAAAGCAUUGAAUCUAGAUCCUUCUCAAACGUUACACUUGUCUGAUUCUCCAAUGUGGCUCUAUGUUAAGUCUAUCAUGAUACUGUAUAGUGCAAUUGAAAGGCUUCAAACGUUGGAGUAAAAGCCUUCUGAUGCGUCCAACACCAACAAUUCCCAUUGUCUUUCCUUCAAGAUCAUAAGCCCUGUAUGCAAUUGCUACCACAUUCCACUCCUCAUUGAUAACUUGAUGAUAUCUAGGUAAGAAAAUUCAUACAAGAACAAGGAUUCUCAUGAGCUCCUCUUCUCCAACUGAGACAACAUUGAAAAUAGGGAAACACUCAAUAUCCUAUAGAUGCAGGAACACAACUUGAACAAAGAACCUAAAUGCUUAAAAACAACACACUUGCAGGCUUGAAGCUCCUUAUAUUUUUAGCCUCGUGUGAAGAUGUGGACAAUGAUUGUCAACGGUGAUCAUAUGCUAUAUUUUCAGCCUCUUGUUCAAGGUAAUUCUAUUGAGGAUUAAAUACUUACUCAUCUUAUAUCUUUCUAUAUGGAGGCCUAUUUUAGUUUAUGUUAUGUCAGGUGCGUGUUAUGUCAGGUGCAUCCUCCAUGAAGAAAAAAAAUGAAAAAAUUCAGUUAGAACCAUAAUUAAGUUUGUUUAAUUCUCUAAGACAACUAUAUGCCCAUUAUUUAAUGUUUGACAAACAACACAUGUAGAAUAGACAACUAUAUGCCCGUAUUUUCAUUUUUGUUGUGUAUUGCGGGGAAAAAAAGAAGAAGAAGAAGAAAAAGAACAUGGUCGGUCCGUCUUACAAGGAGAAGGGAAAGUGACCGCUGUCGGUGCUUUCGACGGGGGUUUUGAAAUUACCAGCACCAUCUUUGGACCUUCGAGAAGUCAACUUUCAUUUGAUUUUCGACUUUAUAAACACGGCUAGCCCACCGAAUUUUAUUAGGGGAAAAGCCCAUUCCUAAGUUGCCAAUGCCAUUAGAUUCUGACUGAUGGCUCGCGUGUUUAAUAAGUUUUUAGUGGCUGACCGACCGAUCCUUGAAGCAGCGGAUCAUGCAAAGCGUCAAAUAACCAAAUGGAAACUGGGUGCUAACUAUAUUUCUGACUGCUAGUCAACUGUCUGUGUGCCCCUCAUUUACGUAUAAAUGAGCACGAGACCAGCUUCUUAUUCAUCAACAUCAAAUCAGUUAUCUCGAAAGCUUCUCUUUAUUUCACAGAGCACAGAGCCAACUCCUGAUUCAUCAAUAUCAUAUUAGUUCUCUCUAAAGCUUCCCUUUAGUUUACGGUUUUAAACCUUCUCUAGUUCUAGUUUGUGAGUAAAUUAAGAGAGACCAAAAAUGAGUGUGGAGAUUUUGGAUGGUGCCACCAUUGUCAACUUUCUGGAGGACGAGGAAGCAUUCAACGCGCAAAUAUGUGACCGCUUCGCCCACCUUGAUUCAGACCAUGAUGGCCGGCUUUCCUACGGGGAAAUGUUGAAGGAGCUGCAGUGUUUGAGGUUAUUGGAAACCCACUUCGGCGUGGAUGUGGA
RNAcentral lists this long non-coding RNA (16239 nucleotides) under Populus trichocarpa (black cottonwood). RNAcentral describes it as "long non-coding RNA (PTRI_LNC000741)". Lineage: Eukaryota; Viridiplantae; Streptophyta; Magnoliopsida; Malpighiales; Salicaceae. The record is from RNAcentral.